Molecule: long non-coding RNA, 3068 nt
Organism: Meriones unguiculatus (Mongolian gerbil)
Lineage: Eukaryota; Metazoa; Chordata; Mammalia; Rodentia; Muridae
Exons: 8
Source: RefSeq, a predicted model, not a curated record
GUUCCCUCCAUGUUGGCACCGAAGCUUCUGGCAGGAAUCUGGCGCUUCCCGUGCCAGGGUCUGCACACAGGACACGGAAAACAGGCAGGCAGCACCGGCGGCAGCAGCGUGGUUUCCAUGCCCACAUGCAGGGGCACCAGCGCCCUCUCGCUCGCUUGCUGACCUGGCUCGUGGAAGGAAGGCGGCUGGGACCCCGGGACAGCUGGCCUCCGCCCCCGGCCCUCCUCUGCAGCUAAGGGCUGCAGAGCCCGCAGGCGUAUUCUGGCAAGCACCCUCCCAGCUCUGUGCAGUCCGCCCCAGCCUAGAAGCUGAGCUCGGGAAGCAGCAAAAGGCACCCUGCGGAGCCAGGAAAGACAGCACGCAGACGACCCGCGCACCAAGACACCCUGUGGAUGGCAGGAGGCCAGGGAAGGGUAUGGAGAGGGUCCUGGAGGGAGGUCGGCAGCACUCCAGGACUGAGGAGCGGGAACUUGGGUGUGCAACCGGUCCCCAAGCGUUGAACUUGACCAUCAGAGGGGGCCACCAGGACUGUGGAGGUAGGGGGUGCGGCGAAAGGACACAAAGGCUAAAUACAGCUACUCGGAAGGAAGCGUUUUUUUUGAGAACCAACCUGGAAGCUUAAGAACAAUCGCACCGGGAGAGACUUUGUAAUGAGGAAGCUGAAGAGGCAAAGAAAGGAAAAUCCGGAUUGGAGAGUGAGGUGAGGAAAGAGUUAGAAGCCGAGAAAAGAAAAUUGCAACAGGAACUAAAAAGAAGGGGGGGGGGAAUCAAUAAAAGAAUUUUUCAAAAAUCAAAAAUCAUGCCAGAGCGAACUUGUUCCUGAAACUGCCAACAGAGGGAAGAAUACAAGGGUGGGGGCACGGAACACACUGGAGAAGCCAAAAGUAAAGAAAGGAGGGGAGAGAAGACAGGAUGCAAAUUAAACCAGAGACGGCAUACUAUCUCUGAGGAGACAGCGGUGUGACCAUUCAAGCUUCUGUCUUCAGAGUCCGCUGUGUUACAGGAUCAGCAAGCAAACGAAGACAUCAAUCUUCCAAGAUUCUAAUGACACAAAAGAAGAAUGUAAGUUGUAAAUGAUGGUUCCCACUUGCAGAAAAAAAAAAAGGAGAGGAAAAAAUGCACUAAAACCAUUUCAAACAAGAAUAUAAUAAAAAUGUGCGGUUUCUAAGUAUUUGACAGCCCACAAACUCAUCUCAAGGGUAUCUGUCCCAUGACGACCUUCUCAUCAUGAAUGCAUCAGGACGGCUCACAGGUGUCUGGACUCUGCGCUUCCUCAUCCAUGACAUGAGUUUUGAACGAGACAAAAUGCGGCACCUACUUUCAGAAUGUCGGGCUGUGGGCCUUUGCAACUGUUCCUCUCUGCUGCCAGAGAAAGCCUCCCUGAUGCAGACUGGAUAAAGCACCGAUCUACACAAUAGAGACGCCAUCCCAUGAAAUCUCAGCAGUGUGGCUGCCUAAACAGAAUACUGAAGAUGCCUCACGGAAUGCCAACAUGGAGGGGGAAAAUGUCACAAAGUCCCGCCACCGCCACCGCUGGAUGAAGAGCUACCACCAGUGGCUGCUGGGAGGACAAUCAGUUUCUUCCAGGAAUGAGAUCCCACAGAGAUUGCCUAGUCACGAAUGGUCAGCCUGGACACACAGACGUACGAGCAAAGGGUCCUCUACCUGGCUGGUCCUCACCACAGCCAUGGUCUGUUGGGUUCAAGAGCUGCUGCAACGUUGUGGAAUAGUCACUGGAACAGAAUUCAGAAUUCUGCCCUGCCUCUGGGAGAGAAACCACUUCCUCCUGCUAGGAACAGCCAAGACUCUGCAGAAGCAACAGCUGGCCCGAGGUGAUUUUUAUCCUGUGGAACAAGCUGCACACAAGGCAGAUCAUUACAUGUCUACGUGAGGAUCCCAGAUUAGUAAUGCUUCCAGUUUUAUUUGAAGUCCUUUUGUUUGAUUAGCAUUGGUACAAGAUUUCCUUCACGAUCUUACAAAGCAUGUCCAGAAAUGUCUCUGAGCAAAUAAUAAUAAUAAUAAUAAUUCCAGCUAAUAACAUUAAGAUAAAACCCAUUACAUAGUACUUUACUGCAAUUAACCCACAGAAUAAGGCACAAUGCAGAGAUGGUUAUGUCCUGAGGCCCAAAAGGGCAGUUUGGAAUGGGAGCCUGUGUUUUAGCUUAAGAAUUACUUACUAAAUAGAAACUUAGUGUCCCCACAUUUGAUAGUGUAUGGUCACUUUAGGGAAUGUGCCUGCCAAUUAUCACCUAAAUAUUUGUAGACUGGAGACCCUUGGGUAUGUUUGUUUGUUUGUUUGUUUGUUUGUUUUCCCAAUCCGGCAACUAAAUGAACAGAAUGGGGUUGUUGGCUUAAAAACAAACAAACAAAAAACCACUACCAUGUCAUUCCAGCUAAAAGCAGCUCCAGCAUUUCCUAACUGCUCAGUUUCAAACUGCCAGACACAAGGUCACUGGUACAAGUGGUGACAGCUCCAGUGGACACAUUUGUCUCCCUCCAAAGUGUGGCCUGAAACAUCUGGCUGGGACAGAAGGUCAUGGACGCCUUCCUCAGGAUUGCAGACAGAUCCAGAACGAUAUGAGUCAGGGGAAGAAAGCACACAUAUCAAACGCUCCUGACCACCUAUUUCUAUUCAAGGGAGAUAAGGAAGCAAUAACCUUGCUACUAAUGUGAAUUCCAAGGAGGGAACUAAAUAAAUUGCCUCUACUCUACACACACCACUAUUAAUCUGUACAAAUACUGGUCAAUUAAAUUAGAUUACACUUGUAAAGUACCUGGCACCAGGGCCGGACAGUCAGGCUUCCUGUAAAUCUUAGUGGCAAUUAAUAAUAAAUCAUAUUCUGAACUACUUAGCAGGUUUUCGGCAUUGCAUUUAAAAUUCGAACAUAAGAGAUGACCUCGUUGCAAAGACACCAAAUAAAAUGUUCUUUGUAAACACCUUGGGCUUCAGACACCAGCCACGUGUGAAAGGUCAAGGCGUUCCCACUUCUAGACAUUAGAUGAGCAGUCUGUGGGUGGGCAUUUGAGGAAGAGAGAUGGGAUCCCGGCAUCAUGGAGGUGAUGGAUUA